RNAcentral lists this ribosomal RNA (765 nucleotides) under Melanomya abdominalis. Its description in RNAcentral is "SSU rRNA". It matches the Rfam family "Eukaryotic small subunit ribosomal RNA", at positions 503 to 1201 of the family's 1831-position model. Lineage: Eukaryota; Metazoa; Arthropoda; Insecta; Diptera; Calliphoridae. The record is from RNAcentral.
CUGUAAUUGGAAUGAGUACACUUUAAAUCCUUUAACAAGGACCUAUUGGAGGGCAAGUCUGGUGCCAGCAGCCGCGGUAACUCCAGCUCCAAUAGCGUAUAUUAAAGUUGUUGCGGUUAAAACGUUCGUAGUUGAACUUGUGCUUCAUACGGGUAGUACAACUAUAAUUGUAGUCUGUACUGUACCUUAUGUAUGUAAGCGUAUUACCGGUGGAGUUCUUAUAUGUAUUAAAUACUUGUAUUUGUGCGUAUUCCUCCUAUUUAAACCUGCUUCAGUGCUCUUUAUCGAGUGUUGUUGUGGGCCGGUACAAUUACUUUGAACAAAUUAGAGUGCUUAAAGCGGGCUCCAAAUGCCUGAAUAUUUUGUGCAUGGAAUAAUGAAAUAAGACCUCUGUUCUACUUUCAUUGGUUUUUAGAUCAAGAGGUAAUGAUUAAUAGAAGCAGUUUGGGGGCAUUAGUAUUACGACGCGAGAGGUGAAAUUCUUGGACCGUCGUAAGACUAACUUAAGCGAAAGCAUUUGCCAAAGAUGUUUUCAUUAAUCAAGAACGAAAGUUAGAGGUUCGAAGGCGAUCAGAUACCGCCCUAGUUCUAACCAUAAACGAUGCCAGCUAGCAAUUGGGUGUAGCUACUAUCAUGGCUCUCUCAGUCGCUUCCCGGGAAACCAAAGCUUUUGGGCUCCGGGGGAAGUAUGGUUGCAAAGCUGAAACUUAAAGGAAUUGACGGAAGGGCACCACCAGGAGUGGAGCCUGCGGCUUAAUUUGACUC